UUACUACCAAACGGGGGCCGAGCAUCGUUGGCUGAGAUUGUAACGAGUGUGUUACUGACCGUUGAACCUGACCUGGGUCAUGCCAGCGGAGGAAGAGGUAUAUGAAUCGAU
Non-coding RNA from Brevibacillus parabrevis, 111 nucleotides. The record is from Rfam. Lineage: Bacteria; Bacillati; Bacillota; Bacilli; Caryophanales; Paenibacillaceae.